GGGUUGUGAGGUUAAGCGACUAAGCGUACACGGUGGAUGCCCUGGCAGUCAGAGGCGAUGAAGGACGUGCUAAUCUGCGAUAAGCGUCGGUAAGGUGAUAUGAACCGUUAUAACCGGCGAUUUCCGAAUGGGGAAACCCAGUGUGAUUCGUCACACUAUCAUUAACUGAAUCCAUAGGUUAAUGAGGCGAACCGGGGGAACUGAAACAUCUAAGUACCCCGAGGAAAAGAAAUCA
RNAcentral lists this ribosomal RNA (235 nucleotides) under Escherichia coli. RNAcentral describes it as "partial 23S ribosomal RNA". It matches the Rfam family "Bacterial large subunit ribosomal RNA", at positions 1 to 227 of the family's 2925-position model. Lineage: Bacteria; Pseudomonadati; Pseudomonadota; Gammaproteobacteria; Enterobacterales; Enterobacteriaceae. The record is from RNAcentral. RNAcentral also lists the same sequence under 1 other name.